AUACUUACCUGGGCGGGGUCGAUGGGUGUCAAGAAGGCCUAUGGCCUAGGUUGACGACCUCCAGUGCACAAGGGAGGGGUGCCCGCCUAACRUCUCCCCAAGUGGGAGAGUGUACGUCAUAAUUUGUGGCAGCGUGGUACGCGUUCGCGCGGCCCCCA
RNAcentral lists this small nuclear RNA (158 nucleotides) under Nelumbo nucifera (sacred lotus). RNAcentral describes it as "U1 spliceosomal RNA". Lineage: Eukaryota; Viridiplantae; Streptophyta; Magnoliopsida; Proteales; Nelumbonaceae. The record is from Rfam by way of RNAcentral.